Molecule: transfer RNA, 56 nt
Filed under: Bulinus globosus
Lineage: Eukaryota; Metazoa; Mollusca; Gastropoda; Planorbidae
Description: tRNA-Ser
Source: RNAcentral
AAGAAAAUUUAAUUGAAGCUGCUAACUUUAAUUUGGGGUUUAAACUCCUUUUCUUU